Molecule: long non-coding RNA, 448 nt
Filed under: Androctonus crassicauda
Lineage: Eukaryota; Metazoa; Arthropoda; Arachnida; Scorpiones; Buthidae
Source: RNAcentral
UAAAUAUCAAUAUUGAUUUUAACACAUACAGAAAUAAUAUAGAUUUCUAUCUGAGACAAUAACAAACUUUCCAUGGAAAUAAGAUAACCUGACUCCUUCACAAUAAAACUCCUACCCCAUAUCAGUAAAAAUUUUGGAACCAUUGUAUGUCAGAUCAAUCAGUCCUUGAUACCUUGAUCUGUUCUUGCACCAAAAUCCACACCUUCAUGCUGGGAAAAACAGUGAAGGCUCUGAAGAAGGUGAAUCUAGGAAGUAAAUGCUAUAUGAGAUAUCCCAUUAAAAAGCCAAAUACUUCUUCACUUUGCAGAUCUAAGAAAUUUUUCUUUCUAGGUAGAAUCUAUAACAACUCUCCUAGACUCUAGCCUUAAUAAUUUUUUUGUUUUUUCUGGAUCUUUAUAUGAAAUAAAAAAAUCAUUAAGCAAAUUAUUUUUUACCAGAAUAUCAAGCC